Molecule: ribosomal RNA, 510 nt
Filed under: uncultured bacterium
Lineage: Bacteria
Description: bacterial SSU rRNA
Rfam family: Bacterial small subunit ribosomal RNA
Source: RNAcentral
AACGAACGCUGGCGGCGUGGAUAAGACAUGCAAGUCGAACGCUUGUCGUGGAGUAGCAAUAUUUCGCGGCAGGAGUGGCGUAAGGGUGCGUAACACGUGGGUCAUUUGCCGCGAAGCUGGGAAUAACUCGUUGAAAGACGAGCUAAUACCCAAUGUGCUCCUCACGGAGUAAAGCCGGGGACCGUAAGGCCUGGCACUUUGCGAUAAGCCCGCGGCCUAUCAGCUAGUUGGCGGGUAAAAGCCCACCAAGGCUAAGACGGGUAGCUGGUCUGAGAGGACGACCAGCCACACUGGAACUGAGACACGGUCCAGACACCUACGGGUGGCAGCAGUCGAGAAUUUUUCACAAUGGGCGAAAGCCUGAUGGAGCGACGCCGCGUGGGGGAUGAAGGGCUUCGGGCUCGUAAACCCCCUGUCAUUCGCGAAUAAUUGUUGUAACCUAACACGUUGCGACUUGAUAGUAGCGGAAGAGGAAGGGACGGCUAACUCUGUGCCAGCAGCCGCGGUAAU